AUGAAAAUAUUGUUUUUUUAAAUGUUUGCCUCUCCUUGUUUGUUCAUGACGAUUCUUCAGCCUGAGGACAGAGAACGUCUGCGUAACAUUUUCCUGGUAAUCACUCCGAUAGAUAAUUCAGUGUGGGUGAAAUCGAUGGACCAGCGGAGCGACGGUGUCGGUACUGUGGGAUGAAGAUUUGUCCGUCAGCGUCUUGUGUUCUUCUGUCCAACGUCUGCGUUUCUUUCCUGUUACUGGUCAGCCUCAGAUUUGGUUAUUACUCUGCUACUCUGCCUAGAAGGCCAGAACGCCGAGCCGCCUCUUCUCUGCAGACGCUGAGACCGGUUACACCUUCGCCCCCGUUCAAAAGACCUGGUCGUGGGACCAAAAGCGACAUAAAAAAGACAAUUAUCAUUUGAGAGGAGUCGGGUGUCGGCUGGGCGGCGUGACAGCGGCGUAUACAUCAGCUUCCUGAGCACAGCGAUGAUGUUUCGCCCCACAAAGGAAGGAACAAUGUCAAGAGCAGCAAAACACUGACAUGGAAGAUGAGAGGAAGAAGACACAGCCUAGUUUUAGUUUUCAGUUGUUAAACUUGAAAUAUUAAAACUGUAAUAAAAUCAACCAGUAUCUUGUGCUCCAGGCGGAUUAAUCAAACAAGUGGAGGAGAGGCUUCAGUGCAAUGAAAGGAAGAAAAUGUGCUGACGUGAGAAAGUCAAAAGUCUCCUACUGUAACUCAGCACAGCUGGAGGUCGUCCAGCACUGCAGAGUUUCACCAAUCACAACAUGCUUUACUUGUUCUGUGGACUCGAAUAACCACAGAGAAGAACAGAUGUUGUCUUGUUAUUAUAGGCGUCAUUAAAGAACAUAUAGAUCUGUUGUGAUUCAUAUGACUGAGCCAGUAAAUAUUAAUUCCUAACUCAGACUUUGAUUCUUUGUCUGCUCAUCUCUGUGUCCACGGACGUUCCUUUAGAUCCAGACUACUAAACUGU
Long non-coding RNA from Acanthopagrus latus (yellowfin seabream), 968 nucleotides. RefSeq lists it as uncharacterized. The record is from RefSeq and is a predicted model, not a curated record. The transcript is spliced from 3 exons. NCBI's taxonomy places the organism in Eukaryota, Metazoa, Chordata, Actinopteri, Spariformes, Sparidae.